RNAcentral lists this transfer RNA (72 nucleotides) under Camelus dromedarius (Arabian camel). It matches the Rfam family "tRNA". From Rfam's summary of the family: Transfer RNA (tRNA) molecules are approximately 80 nucleotides in length. Their secondary structure includes four short double-helical elements and three loops (D, anti-codon, and T loops). The record is from Rfam by way of RNAcentral. RNAcentral also lists the same sequence under 1 other name. Lineage: Eukaryota; Metazoa; Chordata; Mammalia; Artiodactyla; Camelidae.
GAGGGUAUAGCUCAGUGGUAGAGUGCAUGCUUAGCACGUACGAGGUCCUGGGUUCAAUCCCUAGUACCUCCA